GGGGAACUGAAACAUCUAAGUACCCCGAGGAAAAGAAAUCAACCGAGAUUCCCCCAGUAGCGGCGAGCGAACGGGGAGGAGCCCAGAACCUGAAUCGGCUUGUGUGUUAGUGGAAGCGUCUGCAAAGCGGCAAGUGGGUUAUAGCGACGGGAACCUCGCUGCAGGGCAAAUACUUUUGGCGCCGUCAGAUGCAGAAUGUGCCUCAGCUCUUUUUCUCGAUAAGAGGGUAAUAUCGGCACCGGGAUCGCACCGAGCAUCAACGAAGAGAGCAUGAUGACAACCGCUUCACGGGUGUU
This 296-nucleotide ribosomal RNA is filed under the name Serratia ureilytica. RNAcentral's name for it is "partial 23S ribosomal RNA". It matches the Rfam family "Bacterial large subunit ribosomal RNA", at positions 187 to 398 of the family's 2925-position model. The record is from RNAcentral. Lineage: Bacteria; Pseudomonadati; Pseudomonadota; Gammaproteobacteria; Enterobacterales; Yersiniaceae.